Molecule: ribosomal RNA, 465 nt
Filed under: Terrahaemophilus aromaticivorans
Lineage: Bacteria; Pseudomonadati; Pseudomonadota; Gammaproteobacteria; Pasteurellales; Pasteurellaceae
Description: bacterial SSU rRNA
Rfam family: Bacterial small subunit ribosomal RNA
Source: RNAcentral
AUUGAACGCUGGCGGCAGGCUUAACACAUGCAAGUCGAACGGUAACAUGAAGAAGCUUGCUUCUUUGAUGACGAGUGGCGGACGGGUGAGUAAUGCUUGGGAAUCUAGCUUAUGGAGGGGGAUAACUACGGGAAACUGUAGCUAAUACCGCGUAGAAUCGAGAGAUGAAAGUGUGGGACCUUCGGGCCACAUGCCAUAGGAUGAGCCCAAGUGGGAUUAGGUAGUUGGUGAGGUAAAGGCUCACCAAGCCGACGAUCUCUAGCUGGUCUGAGAGGAUGACCAGCCACACUGGGACUGAGACACGGCCCAGACUCCUACAGGAGGCAGCAGUGGGGAAUAUUGCGCAAUGGGGGCAACCCUGACGCAGCCAUGCCGCGUGAAUGAAGAAGGCCUUCGGGUUGUAAAGUUCUUUCGGUAGCGAGGAAGGCAUUUAGUUUAAUAGACUAAGUGAUUGACGUAACUACA